RNAcentral lists this transfer RNA (74 nucleotides) under Lysobacter defluvii IMMIB APB-9 = DSM 18482. It matches the Rfam family "tRNA". Rfam says of the family: Transfer RNA (tRNA) molecules are approximately 80 nucleotides in length. RNAcentral also lists the same sequence under 4 other names. The record is from Rfam by way of RNAcentral. Lineage: Bacteria; Pseudomonadati; Pseudomonadota; Gammaproteobacteria; Lysobacterales; Lysobacteraceae.
GGCCCCGUAGCUCAGCUGGAUAGAGCGUCCCCCUCCUAAGGGGAAGGUCGCACGUUCGAAUCGUGCCGGGGUCG